GGUCCCGUAGCUCAGCCGGAUAGAGCGCCCGUUUCCUAAACAGGAGGCCGCAGGUUCGAGUCCUGCCGGGAUCACCA
This 77-nucleotide transfer RNA is filed under the name Sandaracinobacteroides saxicola. Its description in RNAcentral is "tRNA-Arg". It matches the Rfam family "tRNA". From Rfam's summary of the family: Transfer RNA (tRNA) molecules are approximately 80 nucleotides in length. Their secondary structure includes four short double-helical elements and three loops (D, anti-codon, and T loops). Further hydrogen bonds mediate the characteristic L-shaped molecular structure. tRNAs have two regions of fundamental functional importance: the anti-codon, which is responsible for specific mRNA codon recognition, and the 3' end, to which the tRNAs corresponding amino acid is attached (by aminoacyl-tRNA synthetases). tRNAs cope with the degeneracy of the genetic code in two manners: having more than one tRNA (with a specific anti-codon) for a particular amino acid; and 'wobble' base-pairing, i.e. permitting non-standard base-pairing at the 3rd anti-codon position. Lineage: Bacteria; Pseudomonadati; Pseudomonadota; Alphaproteobacteria; Sphingomonadales; Sphingosinicellaceae. The record is from RNAcentral.